UACGAAUGGGGCUAGCGUUGUUCGGAUUUACUGGGCGUAAAGCGCACGUAGGCGGAUCGAUCAGUCAGGGGUGAAAUCCCAGGGCUCAACCCUGGAACUGCCUUUGAUACUGUCGAUCUGGAGUAUGGAAGAGGUGAGUGGAAUUCCGAGUGUAGAGGUGAAAUUCGUAGAUAUUCGGAGGAACACCAGUGGCGAAGGCGGCUCACUGGUCCAUUACUGACGCUGAGGUGCGAAAGCGUGGGGAGCAAACAGG
This 253-nucleotide ribosomal RNA is filed under the name uncultured bacterium. RNAcentral describes it as "partial 16S ribosomal RNA". It matches the Rfam family "Bacterial small subunit ribosomal RNA", at positions 524 to 776 of the family's 1533-position model. The record is from RNAcentral.